Molecule: ribosomal RNA, 1727 nt
Filed under: Thecamoeba cosmophorea
Lineage: Eukaryota; Discosea; Longamoebia; Thecamoebida
Description: SSU rRNA
Rfam family: Eukaryotic small subunit ribosomal RNA
Source: RNAcentral
UGCAUGUCUUAGUUUAAGACAGGUGCCUUCCGAAACUGCACAUGGCUCAUUAAAUCGGUGGUAGUCCCUCACAAACUUUGGUCCCCACGAUAUGGAUAUCUGUGGGAAUUCUAGAGCUAAUACAUGAUUUGACGACGCCUUGUUUGGGGUUGACGUUCGUCCGAUGAUUCUUGACGAACUGUAAAUUGCAAGUGGCAAUGGUUUGUAGGGGUUUCCGACUCAUCAGCCAUGUUGAUAUUAUAUGGGUAUAUCAAGGCGUCGACGGGUAACGGAGGAUUGGGGUUUGAUCCCGGAGAGGGAGCCUGAGAGAUGGCUACCACUUCUAAGGAAGGCAGCAGGCGCGCAAAUUACCCAUUGCCAACUCGGUGAGGUAGUGACGAUCAAUAACGACACGGACUCUCUAAGAGGGUCCGUGAUCGGAAUGAGCUCGCAUUAGAUGCUCGAGCAAGUAACGAUCGGAGGAAAAGUCUGGUGCCAGCACCCGCGGUAAUUCCAGCUCCGAUAGCAUAUAUUAAAGUUGUUGCAGUUAAAAAGCUCGUAGUCCGAUUUGAAGGCUGGGUUGUUCCGUCGGCUGCCGCGAGUGGCUAGGUCUAAGGCCGUAGCAAGACGGCGGUUGUUGCUUGGUUUCGGCUGGGUUGCAACUGUCCGCGGGGUUUCGGCUCCGACUUGCGCGGUCUGCACUUGGAGCAAAUUAGGGUGUUCAAAGCAGGUAGCUCGACAGGCCGUGAAUAGGUCAGCGUGGGAUGUAGCUUGGCAUCCAUUAACUCUAGUCCUGAGUCCUUCGUGGGAACGAUUGAUGAGGGUGGUCGGUGGCAUCAGUAUUUGCCCGUCAGAGGUGAAAUUCUUGGACCGGGCAAAGACUACCAUCAGCGAAAGCAUUUGCCAAGUACACCCUUUUCGAUCAAGAACGAAAGGCGGGGGAUCGAAAAUGAUCAGAUACCGUCGUAGUCCCGACCGCAAACAAUGCCAACCAGGGAUCGGGAGGCGUCGCACAGACGGCCUUCCCGGCACCCCCGGGGAAACCUCGAGUCUUUGGGUUCCGGGGGGAGUAUGGUCGCAAGGCUGAAACUUAAAGGAAUUGACGGAAGGGCACCACCAGGCGUGGGGUUUGCGGCUUAAUUCGACUCAACACGGGAAACCUUACCAGGUCCGGACUCCGUAAGGAUUGACAGACUAAGGGACCUUUCUUGAUCCUGAGGGUGGUGGUGCAUGGCCGUUCUUGGUUGGUGGAGCGAUCCGUCAGGUCAAUUCCGUUAACGAACGAGACCUCAACCCCCCAAAUAGUGACGCUGUCCUGCCAAGGAGUUCGUUUUCCUGCGGCAAUUGUUCGCUGGGGGUGGUUGUCGUGACGGAGGCGGCUUCGGUGGGACACACGUCUUCUUAGAGGGACGGCCGCGCUCAGCGAGAGGAAGCUUGAGGCAAUAACAGGUCUGUGAUGCCCUUUAGAUGUUCUGGACCGCACGCGCACCACACUGAUGCGUUGAACAAGGCGUCCCUUGGCCUGAAAGGUCUGGGGAAUCUCGAGUGACUAUCGUGAUGGGGAUAGAUUAUUGCAAUUAUUGUUCUUAAACGAGGAAUGCCUAGUAGGCACGGGUCAUCAACUCGUGCCGAUUACGUCCCUGCCCUUUGUACACACCGCCCGUCGCUCCUACCGAUCGAACGGCCAGGCGAAGUCUUCGGAGUGGGUAGAUCGUUCCGGUCUGUCGCAAAGUUGGUUGAACCUCGUC